This 607-nucleotide ribosomal RNA is filed under the name uncultured bacterium. RNAcentral's name for it is "bacterial SSU rRNA". The stretch from base 1 to 521 matches the Rfam family "Bacterial small subunit ribosomal RNA", at positions 338 to 873 of the family's 1533-position model. The record is from RNAcentral.
CCUACGGGAGGCAGCAGUGGGGAAUCUUGCGCAAUGGGCGAAAGCCUGACGCAGCCAUGCCGCGUGAAUGAUGAAGGUCUUAGGAUUGUAAAAUUCUUUCACCGGGGACGAUAAUGACGGUACCCGGAGAAGAAGCCCCGGCUAACUUCGUGCCAGCAGCCGCGGUAAUACGAAGGGGGCUAGCGUUGCUCGGAAUUACUGGGCGUAAAGGGAGCGUAGGCGGAUAGUUUAGUCAGAGGUGAAAGCCCAGGGCUCAACCUUGGAAUUGCCUUUGAUACUGGCUAUCUUGAGUACGGAAGAGGUAUGUGGAACUCCGAGUGUAGAGGUGAAAUUCGUAGAUAUUCGGAAGAACACCAGUGGCGAAGGCGACAUACUGGUCCGUUACUGACGCUGAGGCUCGAAAGCGUGGGGAGCAAACAGGAUUAGAUACCCUGGUAGUCCACGCUGUAAACGAUGAGUGCUAGUUGUCGGUCGAGGCAUGCUCGUCGGUGACGCGAGCUACGCAUUAAGUACACUCCGCCGUCGGGUAGGUACGGUCGCGAGAUUAAACUAACAAGAAGUUAGACGGCGUGAGACGUGCCGAACGGACGACGACGAGGGAGGUAGG